GGGGCCCGCACAAGCGGUGGAGCAUGUGGUUUAAUUCGAUGCAACGCGAAGAACCUUACCUGGUCUUGACAUCCACGGAAGUUUUCAGAGAUGAGAAUGUGCCUUCGGGAACCGUGAGACAGGUGCUGCAUGGCUGUCGUCAGCUCGUGUUGUGAAAUGUUGGGUUAAGUCCCGCAACGAGCGCAACCCUUAUCCUUUGUUGCCAGCGGUCCGGCCGGGAACUCAAAGGAGACUGCCAGUGAUAAACUGGAGGAAGGUGGGGAUGACGUCAAGUCAUCAUGGCCCUUACGACCAGGGCUACACACGUGCUACAAUGGCGCAUACAAAGAGAAGCGACCUCGCGAGAGCAAGCGGACCUCAUAAAGUGCGUCGUAGUCCGGAUUGGAGUCUGCAACUCGACUCCAUGAAGUCGGAAUCGCUAGUAAUCGUGGAUCAGAAUGCCACGGUGAAUACGUUCCCGGGCCUUGUACACACCGCCCGUCACACCAUGGGAGUGGGUUGCAAAAGAAGUAGGUAGCUUAACCUUCGGGAGGGCGCUUACCACUUUGUGAUUCAUGACUGGGGUGAAGUCGUAACAAGGUAACCGUAGGGGAACCUGCGGUUGGAUCAC
Molecule: ribosomal RNA, 610 nt
Filed under: Escherichia coli
Lineage: Bacteria; Pseudomonadati; Pseudomonadota; Gammaproteobacteria; Enterobacterales; Enterobacteriaceae
Also listed under: 1 other name
Description: bacterial SSU rRNA
Rfam family: Bacterial small subunit ribosomal RNA
Source: RNAcentral